RNAcentral lists this ribosomal RNA (785 nucleotides) under uncultured organism. Its description in RNAcentral is "bacterial SSU rRNA". It matches the Rfam family "Bacterial small subunit ribosomal RNA", at positions 26 to 830 of the family's 1533-position model. The record is from RNAcentral.
AGGAUGAACGCUGGCGGUGUGCCUAAGGUAUGCAAGUCGAACGGUCCUUAUGAUUAUCAUUUGGACAGUGGCGGACUGGUGAGUAACGCGUGGAUAAUCUGCCCCGAAGAUGAGGAUAGCUCGCCGAAAGGUGAGGUAAUCCUCAAUGGUGUGGGAAGUACAUAUGUACAUCCCACUAAAGCUUUAGCGCUUCGGGAUGAGUCUGCGUCCUAUCAGCUUGUUGGUAGAGUAAAGGUCUACCAAGGCUAAGACGGGUAACUGGUCUGAGAGGAUGGUCAGUCACAGUGGCACUGAAACACGGGCCACACUCCUACGGGAGGCAGCAAUUAGGAAUCUUGCACAAUGGAGGAAACUCUGAUGCAGCGACACCGCGUGAAGGAUGAAGACCCUCGGGUUGUAAACUUCUUUUAUAAUCUAACAAGUUCUGAGUGGAGUAUGAAUAAGCACCUGCUAACUGCGUGCCAGAAGCAUCGGUGAAGCGUGGGGUGCGAGCGUUAUCCGGAUUUAUUGGGCGUAAAGAGAUGCGUAGGCGUUUUGGUAAGUCUUCUGUCAAAGCCUUCGGCCUAACCGAAGAAAGGCAGAGGAUACUAUCAGAAUUGAGACAGAGAGGGGGAAGUGGAAUUCCCGGUGGAGCGGUGAAAUGCGUUGAUAUCGGGAGGAACACCAGUGGCGAAGGCAACUUCCUGGCUCUGUUCUGACGCUGAGGCUCGAAAGCGUGGAGAGCAAAGCGGAUUAGAUACCCGUGUAGUCCAUGCUGUAAACGUUGGAUACUGGACGUUUGGUUC